CUUGGACUGAAAUAGGCAGGACGCUGCCAGGGGCAGGCAGCGAGCGGCCGCAGCGCGCAGGCGCUUCCCGCGGGCACCAGCCGCUGCCCGGCGGCGGAGACACUGAACAGCUGCGGGAGCGGGAAAGUGGUAUCAACAUCAUUUCAUAAUUGCAAGAGUACAUAGCUUCAUCGGAGUGGCAUGCAUCAAGCAUAGAGCAAGGUAGUAAGUUAGGAAAGACAUUCAAACACCUCUUCCCCAAAGGCACAAUGACCUCAAGAUCAAUUGGAAAAG
Molecule: long non-coding RNA, 273 nt
Organism: Mauremys reevesii (Reeves's turtle)
Lineage: Eukaryota; Metazoa; Chordata; Testudines; Geoemydidae
Exons: 3
Source: RefSeq, a predicted model, not a curated record